AUGCUGAGUACAGUAGCAAAUACUAAACCCGAUGUAGUGUGUUGUAAAGACACUUGUGCUUCUUUCAUCUGGAAAGGUGUCAUUUGGGCCUCCAAAUAUGUUAGAUUAGGGUGUCGCCGGAAGAUCGGUAAAGGUGACAUGACCAUGUUAGCAAUGGGACUUGUAUCAUAUUGCCAUUUGCCAAUGAGGUUAAUACAACUAUACAGGAUGUCUCAGAUGGCCGCCAAGUCAACUGUACUUUUUCGUAGGAGUUUUACCCCCGAAGCCUAUACAACAAUGUCAAAACCUAGAAAACCUACCUGUUAG
RNAcentral lists this ribosomal RNA (306 nucleotides) under Triticum aestivum (bread wheat). Its description in RNAcentral is "partial small subunit ribosomal RNA". The record is from RNAcentral. Lineage: Eukaryota; Viridiplantae; Streptophyta; Magnoliopsida; Poales; Poaceae.